GAUGAACGCUGGCGGCGUGCUUAACACAUGCAAGUCGAGCGGUAAGGCCCCUUCGGGGGUACACGAGCGGCGAACGGGUGAGUAACACGUGGGGAACCUGCCCUCCACUUCGGGAUAAGCCUGGGAAACCGGGUCUAAUACCGGAUAUGACUUCUGGGUGCAUGCCUGGUUGUGGAAAGUUUUUUCGGUGGGGGAUGGGCCCGCGGUCUAUCAGCUUGUUGGUGGGGUGAUGGCCUACCAAGGCGACGACGGAUAGCCGGCCUGAGAGGGUGAUCGGCCACACUGGGACUGAGACACGGCCCAGACUCCUACGGGUGGCAG
This 321-nucleotide ribosomal RNA is filed under the name uncultured Actinomycetes bacterium. RNAcentral describes it as "bacterial SSU rRNA". It matches the Rfam family "Bacterial small subunit ribosomal RNA", at positions 28 to 351 of the family's 1533-position model. Lineage: Bacteria; Bacillati; Actinomycetota; Actinomycetes. The record is from RNAcentral.